Molecule: long non-coding RNA, 208 nt
Filed under: Vigna radiata
Lineage: Eukaryota; Viridiplantae; Streptophyta; Magnoliopsida; Fabales; Fabaceae
Description: long non-coding RNA (VRAD_LNC018406)
Source: RNAcentral
AAUGAAUACAGCAUCCACUUUUAAAAGCAAAUAAAUUGGUCCUAAAACUCUGCUCUCCUAAAGCUGGAUGCGGCAGCAAUCCUGUGUGCACCGUCAACUGCUUCCAAGAGAAUGCACCGUUUUGUCAAGCAGCUAUGUGCUUCCAAGACAUGAUGCAGAUUCCAAUUCAGCGCCUCUUAAAGUAAGCAGCUUGCAGCGCAUGUUCUUC